CCAUAGCCCUGAUUGCAGUGGAAAUCCCACAGCAGGCGAUGGCAAUUUGACUCCGCUCGGGAUGUAAGCGAGGGCGCGAGGAAUUGCAACGGAAAGCAGGUUCUCGG
RNAcentral lists this unclassified non-coding RNA (107 nucleotides) under Epilithonimonas lactis. Its description in RNAcentral is "Chryseobacterium halperniae Flavo-1 RNA". Lineage: Bacteria; Pseudomonadati; Bacteroidota; Flavobacteriia; Flavobacteriales; Weeksellaceae. The record is from RNAcentral.